This 339-nucleotide long non-coding RNA is filed under the name Musa acuminata (dwarf banana). RNAcentral describes it as "long non-coding RNA (MACU_LNC010800)". Lineage: Eukaryota; Viridiplantae; Streptophyta; Magnoliopsida; Zingiberales; Musaceae. The record is from RNAcentral.
UGGUGAUUAUGAACUUAUGUGUUUUGUGGAGGCUUUAAAAGACUUCUCAUGUUUAGGAUUUUGGAAUGUUAAGUUUAAUUUGUAUAAUGAUACGACCUUCUGAUCAAUGUUAGUUUUGUGGUUGUAUAGAGUCUUACACUUGUGGAUUUAUGAUGCGGUUUUCGUUUAGUUGAGUUGGCUUUGGAUUUUAUCAAUCUUUGAGUGAUGUGACGUAUGAUUAUAACUACAAAGUCUUAUAAAUUGUUGAUUAUGGGUGUGAAUUAUGACUUGAAUGAUUUUUAUUAUCCUCAAAUUUAGUUUAGAUUUUCUAUUAGAUUGUUGAAUAAAUUUUAAUAUUAU